ACUUUAUCAUAUAUUUUGGUUCAAGCCAUUGAACAAAACUGAUAUAAAUGUAACCUUUUUCUUUUCUAAUGAUUCAGAUAAUGCACAUAACUUACUCAAAAACUUGAGUACACUGAGUGAGUCAUCAACAAUGCAUGAUAUGGAAGAAGAAGAAGAACAAGAUGAAGGAAUAGUUGAAAGAGAGAACAAAGGGAAACAAAACAUGUUGAUUGAAAAAGAUGAAGAACAUAGCAAAUGGACACAUAUCCCUAGUGAUAUUCUGGAAAUGAUAAUGAAGCGUUUGAAUCUGAUAGAUUUCCUUCGAACUAGUGUAGUGUGUUCAUCUUGGAAUGCUACCUUUACUCAAGCCAUUGCAAACAAGCAUAUCAAACCAUUACCUGAAUUGCCAAUUGUAAUCCUGCAAUCGCAUAGGAUUUCUAUAUCAGCAAGCAGUGUUUUGAGCAUCAAAUUAGAAGAAGUAUGUUCUGUCAUAAACGAAAACACAAUGCUACUUGAAAGUCACCAUAGAUAUCAUGGCAUAGUUGAAGGAUGGAUGAUUUUGAGUAUUUCUCUUUUUGUUGGUAUUACCAACAUCAUCUUUUUCUUCAAUCCAGUUACCAGUGAUGUAGUACUUGUCCCUUUACCUUUGAAAUUUCCAUCAAACUCUCCUAUCCCGAGUAGAUCAAAUUUGAAAAUGGGAAGAAUGGUGGCAUCUUCUAGUCCUAAGUGUAAAGAUUGUGUUCUGGUUUGUCUCUUUACUGAUUAUGCCCACAUUGCAUAUUGUAGAGUUAAUUAUGACAAAUCAUGGACUAUGAUUGAAGCAAAGGGGGAUGCAUGGAAUUUUCUGGAUGUGGAAUUUUUCAAUGGUAAAUUGUAUGUUAGAACUUACAUGGCAAGCACUUCUAUGUUAGUUUAUGAUCUGCAAGAUUCUACUGAUAAUCCUCCAAAUCCUAUAGUAUUAGGUGAGAUUCCACCAAUAAGGCCAUUAACAGAGUCAAUGACACAUGAAAAUCAAAUUUAUGUUAAGGGUGAUGUCAUUCGAUUUCUAACAAUUGGUUAUGCAGCAGAAGAGUUACUGCUCGUAUACUUGUACAACAAUUAUGUUUCUGAAAGUGGUAAUGUUGGCUAUAUGAAUGUUAUCAAGCAAUAUGCAAGUCCCCCUCAAGUUACCAAAUGUGAAGUGUUCAAAUUAGACACAAGAAGUAAUGAGUGGGUGAAGCUUGAUCACUUGGGUGACAGAAUGAUAUUUCUUGGAUAUAAUAAGUCCUAUGUAAUGUCAAGAACAUUACUUAAUUGCAAUGGAGAGUUAACUACAGAGAAUAGUGUCUAUUUUGCUCUUUACUUACCAUGUCCAGAACCAUGGUUGAAUCCUCAAUUGGGGAGGCUUUGCAUGACUGAUAACACGAUCAAGUACUUUCCUAUGGAGGAUUUUUCAGUUGAACUAGAUGCUUGCCCUUCCUGGUUCUUACCAAGUGCUUGGUAAUUCAUUCUUUUGCUGCUUACAUUUGCUUUAGGUUUCACCAUUGUCAUCUAUGAAUUGAUUGAUAUAUUUUUUUGUAUCAUACAUUUUCAUUUUCUUUAUAAUCAAUAAACAUGUUAGAUAUGCUUAUGAAAAAAAUAAGCUUCAUUUAACUCAUAAAAAUAGUUUGGCCCUCCUAUAAGCUUUUCGUCUAUCUUAUUUCAAAAUAGGGGAUGCAUAUUUUGGUUGUUUACCAAAAACACCAUUAAAUUGUUCAUGGCUUAAAAGUAUUUUAGCCAAAUCAUACUGAAUUUGUAGAAUCAUCUGAACCUUAGAGUCUUUGAAAACCAUCCCCCGUGCUAAAAGUGGCAUAAUAAUGUAGAAAAAGAAUCACAUAAUUUGGCAUUAAACUCGUUGCAGAUCGCUGUUUUGAUGCAAAAUAUAUGGUAUGAUAUGCCGUGCAAGGAAGUUAAUAAUCCACAAAAAGAGCAUUCAAUUGUAAAGCUAAAAAAACAAGAGACUUAUCUGAACUCUUCCUUCAACAACCAUUCUUUUUCAAGCUCUUCCUCCAGUUUUCUCUGCAGAAGAUCCAGUUCUGCAUCAGUAGUAAUCUCACAUCUAGCUUCCUCUGUUUUUUGCUUGCAUGCAUCAAUUUUUUCCUUAUAAUCUGAUUCAUCUAAGCACAGGUCAAAUGCAUAAUACAAUAAAGAGGAUCUGCUCAUACUCGAUAACAUGAACAUUAACUAGUAGAAAAAGGGUAGAGUUUGUAGUGGAGUUCUUUUAGAUCAUAAUAGACGGCAUGCCAUACUUAAGCUACUUCCACCCGAACCACAAGCAAACUUUCCAGCAGCAUCUUUCCAUUUUCCAUUAUCAUUCCUUAUGCACUCAUACUAAAUAACUCAAAAAGGCAUUGUAGUGAAACCAUGUAAAUCAGUAGUAGCAGAAUAAAACUAAAGGGAAACGAAUUGAAGGCAUUGUAGUGUUGCUUCAGAAAUCAAUCUUAAGGAGUUUUUAUUUAUUUUUAAUGGUGCUAAAAAUGAAUGAUAUCAUUGAUCCAUAUUAUAGAUAUUCGACAAAGUUUUACAUUAAUUGUCAACUGCCUACCACAAGAUUCACCAUCUAUAGCAUCAAGCAUACAGGUAGGUCAAGAAAGAUUUAGAUUUAGAGAUCAAUGCUUGGCAGGAGAAUAUUACUUUGAAGAUUAAGAUUGAUAAUAGAAGUUGAGAAUAAUCUUUCUCUCUGUCAAUUUCUCUAUUCUAUCUAGAUUUUCCUAAACCCAUAUCUCCCCUCCUCAUCACAAACACAUAAAUUGUAAUGGGAAAAAUAAUAAUCAACAACACAAGCAUAAUAAUUACAAAAAUGGAAACUUUGAUGCAAAAUAUUAAAUUCACACACUUAUUUUUAAACAACACAGAAGCAGGAAAAAGAACACAAAAUUCAUUAUAAAAUCCCCAAAUUUCGGCACGUUACUAAUUUCAUUUUAAAAACUGAAAGAAUACCGAAGGGAAAAGGGAAAACAAUGAAGAAGACCUUGAAGCAAAGAGUGAAGGUUAUUGAAAUCGGAGUGGAUGGUUGAAGAGAGUGAAACGGUGCGUUGCAGAGUGUGAGUUAGGUUAUCGACGUCACGCUUGUGUUGCAAUAACUUAACCACGUCGAUGUUUGUUGACAACAAUUCUCUCAUUUUGUUUCCGUUGGUUGGGUAGAGAUUGAAGGAAAGUGAGCAAUGGAAGUCUUAAUUUUGUUGACAAUAUUAUUUUGCCACAUGUUAUCCCUG
RNAcentral lists this long non-coding RNA (3212 nucleotides) under Lupinus angustifolius (narrow-leaved blue lupine). RNAcentral's name for it is "long non-coding RNA (LANG_LNC001905)". The record is from RNAcentral. Lineage: Eukaryota; Viridiplantae; Streptophyta; Magnoliopsida; Fabales; Fabaceae.